Molecule: ribosomal RNA, 161 nt
Filed under: Ceriops zippeliana
Lineage: Eukaryota; Viridiplantae; Streptophyta; Magnoliopsida; Malpighiales; Rhizophoraceae
Description: 5.8S ribosomal RNA
Rfam family: 5.8S ribosomal RNA
About the family: 5.8S ribosomal RNA (5.8S rRNA) is a component of the large subunit of the eukaryotic ribosome.
Source: RNAcentral
AACGACUCUCGGCAACGGAUAUCUCGGCUCUCGCAUCGAUGAAGAACGUAGCGAAAUGCGAUACUUGGUGUGAAUUGCAGAAUCCCGCGAACCAUCGAGUCUUUGAACGCAAGUUGCGCCCGAAGCCUUCUGGCCGAGGGCACGUCUGCCUGGUGUCACUC